CAAACACUUCCACUAGAAAUGCUGACCAAUGCCUGGAUUCUCUGCUCAUUCUAGGGGAAACCAGCUGCCAUAUUAAGAAAACAGUCCUAUGGAAAGGGCCAUGGAACAAAGAAGUGACUUCUGCCAACAACCUCAUGAGUGAACCUAGAAGUGGCUCAUCUAGUCCUGGUCAAAUCUUAUGGACUGUGGCUCCAACUGAUAGUGUGACUGUAACUUCAUAAGAGACGCUGAACCAGACCACCCAAUAAGACACUCCCAGAUUCCCUACUCUCAAAAGUUGUGUGAAAUAAUCACCCCCAGUUGUAUUAAACUGCUAAGUUUUGGGGUAGUGUGUUACACAGCAAUAAAUCAUAAAUACAACAUCCAAG
RNAcentral lists this long non-coding RNA (368 nucleotides) under Homo sapiens (human). RNAcentral's name for it is "non-protein coding LINC01241:19". The record is from RNAcentral. Lineage: Eukaryota; Metazoa; Chordata; Mammalia; Primates; Hominidae.